Molecule: small nuclear RNA, 104 nt
Organism: Hypanus sabinus (Atlantic stingray)
Lineage: Eukaryota; Metazoa; Chordata; Chondrichthyes; Myliobatiformes; Dasyatidae
Source: RefSeq, a predicted model, not a curated record
CUGAGCCACAGGGCCAGACUCGGUGCCAAAGAACGUUGCAGAGAAGAUUGGCAAGGUCCCUGUGCAAGGAUGACAUGCAAAUUCAUAAAGCGCUCCAUGUUUUG